Molecule: ribosomal RNA, 468 nt
Filed under: uncultured bacterium
Lineage: Bacteria
Description: partial 16S ribosomal RNA
Rfam family: Bacterial small subunit ribosomal RNA
Source: RNAcentral
GACGAACGCUGGCGGCGUGCUUAACACAUGCAAGUCGAACGGAAAGGCCCUGCUUUUGUGGGGUGCUCGAGUGGCGAACGGGUGCGUAACACGUGAGUAACCUGCCCUUGACUUUGGGAUAACUUCAGGAAACUGGGGCUAAUACCGGAUAGGAGCUCCUGCUGCAUGGUGAGGAUUGGAACGUUUCGGCGGUUGGGGAUGGACUCGCGGCUUAUCAGCUUGUUGGUGGGGUAGUGGCUUACCAAGGCUGUGACGGGUAGCCGGCCUGAGAGGGUGACCGGCCACAUUGGGACUGAGAGACGGCCCAGACUCCUACGGGAGGCAGCAGUGGGGAAUAUUGCACAAUGGGCGGAAGCCUGAUGCAGCAACGCCGCGUGCGGGAUGACGGCCUUCGGGUUGUAAACCGCUUUCGCCUGUGACGAAGCGUGAGUGACGGUAAUGGGUAAAGAAGCACCGGCUAACUACGUG